RNAcentral lists this ribosomal RNA (823 nucleotides) under Synnemadiella eucalypti. Its description in RNAcentral is "eukaryotic LSU rRNA". It matches the Rfam family "Eukaryotic large subunit ribosomal RNA", at positions 86 to 938 of the family's 3401-position model. Lineage: Eukaryota; Fungi; Ascomycota; Sordariomycetes; Xylariales. The record is from RNAcentral.
ACGGCGAGUGAAGCGGCAACAGCUCAAAUUUGAAAUCUGGCCCUUGGGUCCGAAUUGUAAUUUGUAGAGGAUGCUUUUGAAGCGGUACCUUCCGAGUUCCCUGGAACGGGACGCCUUAGAGGGUGAGAGCCCCGUACGGUUGGAUACCAAUUCUUUGUAUAGCUCCUUCGACGAGUCGAGUAGUUUGGGAAUGCUGCUCUAAAUGGGAGGUAAAUUUCUUCUAAAGCUAAAUACCGGCCAGAGACCGAUAGCGCACAAGUAGAGUGAUCGAAAGAUGAAAAGCACUUUGAAAAGAGGGUUAAAUAGCACGUGAAAUUGUUGAAAGGGAAGCGUUUAUGACCAGACUUUUUCCAGGCGGAUCAUCCGGUGUUCUCACCGGUGCACUUCGUCUGGUCGAGGCCAGCAUCGGUUUUCGUAGAGGGAUAAAAGCUUUAGGAAUGUGGCUCCUCCGGGAGUGUUAUAGCCUAUUGUAUAAUACCUUUAUGGGGACCGAGGUACGCGCAUCUGCAAGGAUGCUGGCGUAAUGGUCAUCAACGACCCGUCUUGAAACACGGACCAAGGAGUCGAACAUUUGUGCGAGUGUUUGGGUGUUAAACCCUCACGCGUAAUGAAAGUGAACGGAGGUGAGAGCCGCAAGGCGCAUCAUCGACCGAUCCUGAUGUUUUCGGAUGGAUUUGAGUAAGAGCAUAAAUGUUCGGACCCGAAAGAUGGUGAACUAUGCGUGGAUAGGGUGAAGCCAGAGGAAACUCUGGUGGAGGCUCGCAGCGGUUCUGACGUGCAAAUCGAUCGUCAAAUCUGCGCAUGGGGGCGAAAGACUAAUCGA